This 378-nucleotide unclassified non-coding RNA is filed under the name soil metagenome. RNAcentral describes it as "partial contains 5.8S ribosomal RNA, internal transcribed spacer 2, and large subunit ribosomal RNA". The stretch from base 1 to 120 matches the Rfam family "5.8S ribosomal RNA", at positions 35 to 154 of the family's 154-position model. The record is from RNAcentral.
GAUGAAGAACGUAGCGAAAUGCGAUAAGUAAUGUGAAUUGCAGAAUUCAGUGAAUCAUCGAAUCUUUGAACGCACCUUGCGCUCCUUGGUAUUCCGAGGAGCAUGCCUGUUUGAGUGUCAUUAAAUUCUCAACCUUUAUCUUUUAUUGAUAAAUGGCUUGGACUUGGGGGUUUGCUGGCGAAAGUCAGCUCCUCUGAAACGUAUUAGCUGGUUGCCUUGUGUGAACUUGUCUAUUGGUGUGAUAAUUAUCUACGCCGUGGGCUGUUUGCCGUUUUAGCACUGCUUCUAACUGUCUGUUAACUCGGACAAUAUAUGACAAUUUGACCUCAAAUCAGGUAGGACUACCCGCUGAACUUAAGCAUAUCAAUAAGCGGAGGA